Molecule: transfer RNA, 76 nt
Filed under: Mollicutes bacterium
Lineage: Bacteria; Bacillati; Mycoplasmatota; Mollicutes
Description: tRNA-His
Rfam family: tRNA
About the family: Transfer RNA (tRNA) molecules are approximately 80 nucleotides in length. Their secondary structure includes four short double-helical elements and three loops (D, anti-codon, and T loops).
Source: RNAcentral
GCGAAUAUGGUGAAGUGGUUAACACAUCGGAUUGUGGCUCCGACAUGCGUGGGUUCGACUCCCACUAUUCGCCCCA